GACGAACGCUGGCGGCGUGCUUAACACAUGCAAGUCGAACGGGAAGGCCCUGCUUUUGUGGGGUGCUCGAGUGGCGAACGGGUGAGUAACACGUGAGUAACCUGCCCUUGACUUUGGGAUAACUUCAGGAAACUGGGGCUAAUACCGGAUAGGUGCUCCUGCUGCAUGGUGGGGGUUGGAAAGUUUCGGCGGUUGGGGAUGGACUCGCGGCUUAUCAGCUUGUUGGUGGGGUAGUGGCUUACCAAGGCUUUGACGGGUAGCCGGCCUGAGAGGGUGACCGGCCACAUUGGGACUGAGAUACGGCCCAGACUCCUACGGGAGGCAGCAGUGGGGAAUAUUGCACAAUGGGCGGAAGCCUGAUGCAGCAACGCCGCGUGCGGGAUGACGGCCUUCGGGUUGUAAACCGCUUUCGCCUGUGACGAAGCGUGAGUGACGGUAAUGGGUAAAGAAGCACCGGCUAACUACGUG
Molecule: ribosomal RNA, 468 nt
Filed under: uncultured bacterium
Lineage: Bacteria
Description: partial 16S ribosomal RNA
Rfam family: Bacterial small subunit ribosomal RNA
Source: RNAcentral